GCCCGUAUAGUAUAGUGGUUAUUAUUUCUCACUCGUAAUGAGAGGGUCCCUAGUUCAAAUCUGGGUGCGGGCA
Molecule: transfer RNA, 73 nt
Filed under: Malassezia sympodialis ATCC 42132
Lineage: Eukaryota; Fungi; Basidiomycota; Malasseziomycetes; Malasseziales; Malasseziaceae
Description: tRNA-Thr (CGT) (tRNA-Thr-CGT-1-1)
Rfam family: tRNA
About the family: Transfer RNA (tRNA) molecules are approximately 80 nucleotides in length. Their secondary structure includes four short double-helical elements and three loops (D, anti-codon, and T loops).
Source: RNAcentral